This 65-nucleotide microRNA precursor is filed under the name Blattella germanica (German cockroach). RNAcentral describes it as "Bge-Mir-277_pre stem-loop". It matches the Rfam family "mir-277 microRNA precursor family", at positions 15 to 79 of the family's 90-position model. Lineage: Eukaryota; Metazoa; Arthropoda; Insecta; Blattodea; Blattellidae. The record is from RNAcentral.
CGUGUCAGAGGCGCGUUUACAAAGCUGCUGUUAGAAAUUCUGUAAAUGCACUAUCUGGUACGACA